GCAGGUUCUGGAGGCAUCUCAUGUAGAUAAUCUGAGGGUAACAGAUGAGAGGGCUCUGGAUGAUCAAGUCGGUGGAGAACCACUUGAUAGGUUGCCUGAAGGGGCAGAUAUGAUUGAUGCUGAUGGUGGGGACAAAUUGCAUGGUCGAGACCCACGAGAUGGAAAAAUAAAAUUUGGAGAUUUUGAUGAGAGUGGAAGAGAUGACUCAUCGAGACGCAGGCCUUCACGUGGAUGGCCAAGGCCUAGAGGGAAGGGAAGAGCUAAUGAAUCUGCUUUUGAUAAUGAGCAGGUUUUGGCAUCUCCAGGAUCUGGUAGCCGAUCAGGACAGGGACGAAGUUCUAGAGAUAGGAAUUUGAUGAAAAAUUUAGAUUUGAGAAGAGGACAAGAUGCAAGAAAGUGUGCAGGAAAUUCCAAUCCUGAUGGUUUAACUUUGGAACGAGAGGAUUCUGAUGAUUGCUUUCAGGAA
RNAcentral lists this unclassified non-coding RNA (466 nucleotides) under Hevea brasiliensis (rubber tree). The record is from RNAcentral. Lineage: Eukaryota; Viridiplantae; Streptophyta; Magnoliopsida; Malpighiales; Euphorbiaceae.